GGACACGCUGCCCCCGCUUCCCGCAGCACGGGGACUGUCGAACGCGCUUCAAAUUCACUUGCCCUCUUCAGCAAAGCCGUCCUCUUAAUUUUCUUUCUUUAUUUCAUAAACAGCAAUAAUCCUAUUGCCUCGCUCAGGGCGUUAUGUGCAAUAUAAUAUACGGCCACGUGUAGCCCAGCCUCCAGCUAUGCUCCAUUAUGAAGUGACAGGGGACUGGUUCCUCUGGGAAUCGAAGCAGAAACGUUUUGCAGAGGGCCGUGGCCUCAAAACCCAGAAGUUCUGGUCCAAACACGGAGAGUUGGAGGCCGAGGAGGUGAAGGGUGGAAGUUUGAUGUGAUUUGGGUGGCAUCUGCCAGGCCGCCUGGACGGGAGCUCUUUGAGGAGCAUCGUCCAGCAAGGGCAGGGAUUUCUGAUCCGUUUCUUUAGGUUUUGGCAGAUUUUUUAGCACCAGUAAGUGGUUUAAAGGAGUUCCCUUCAUUCUCAGUUAUCGUGGAGGGGUUUUGAUGCUGCGAUGUGCUUUGCUAGCCUUCUGCUUUCCUGCCUGCGUCCCCCUGCUCUUCCAUAAGCUUAGGGCCGCCUGCGGAGCUCGUAGCACAAAAUCCAGUUGCACUUUACGUUUUAGCAUCCCUCGGGGUGGGAAGCGAUUCCCUCCAGGUUUCAUUUUGGAAGCUUUGUGCUUCUGGUGGCGCUGCCAGCGAUGCCUCCCCGAGACAGCAGCAAAACAAAAGCACGCCUUGUUCCCAGCCGCCGCCGCUCACCCCGCGCUCCCCCGGUUUGUUGUGCUUGGUUUUUUCUUUCAAUGAGCUCGCAGAUUACAAUUCUCACUCCUCUUCCUUCUGUAAAAGAAGCCGAGAGCUGUCGGAUUGCUGUCCAAACACGCUGUGCUGGGUGCAGUUGUGUUUUCGAGCGAGGCCUCAGAAGCUCAGGAAAUUUUGCAGGGCCCUCAGCGCGCCACGAGCCCGCACGUAGCGGGGCUUGGCGUGAAGAUUUAAUUAGGGUGAGACGACGUCGUCAGAUAAACGCCAGGCCUGAAAGAAUGGAGGUGUCAGAGAAGGCCUGGGGAGAGCCGAGCGAGGGCUCUGGGAGGCAGUGA
RNAcentral lists this long non-coding RNA (1093 nucleotides) under Anas platyrhynchos platyrhynchos (common mallard). Its description in RNAcentral is "lncRNA (ENSAPLG00000028166.1)". The record is from RNAcentral. Lineage: Eukaryota; Metazoa; Chordata; Aves; Anseriformes; Anatidae.